GACGAACGCUGGCGGCGUGCUUAACACAUGCAAGUCGAACGGAAAGGCCCUGCUUUUGUAGGGUGCUCGAGUGGCGAACGGGUGAGUAACACGCGAGUAACCCGUCCUUGACUUUGGGAUAACUUCAGGAAACUGGGGCUAAUACAGGAUAGGAGCUCCUGCUGCACGGUGGGGGUUGGAAAGUUUCGGCGGUUGGGGAUGGACUCGCGGCUUAUCAGCUUGUUGGUGGGGUAGUGGCUUACCAAGGCUUUGACGGGUAGCCGGCCUGAGAGGGUGACCGGCCACAUUGGGACUGAGAUACGGCCCAGACUCCUACGGGAGGCAGCAGUGGGGAAUAUUGCACAAUGGGCGGAAGCCUGAUGCAGCAACGCCGCGUGCGGGAUGACGGCCUUCGGGUUGUAAACCGCUUUCGCCUGUGACGAAGCGUGAGUGACGGUAAUGGGUAAAGAAGCACCGGCUAACUACGUG
Molecule: ribosomal RNA, 468 nt
Filed under: uncultured bacterium
Lineage: Bacteria
Description: partial 16S ribosomal RNA
Rfam family: Bacterial small subunit ribosomal RNA
Source: RNAcentral